CCUACGGGUGGCAGCAGUGGGGAAUAUUGGGCAAUGGGCGCAAGCCUGACCCAGCAACGCCGCGUGAGGGAAGAAGGUUUUCGGGUUGUAAACUUCUUUUAAUAGGGAAGAGCAGGCGACGGUACCUCUUGAAUAGGCCACAGCUAACUACAUGCCAGCGGCCGCGUUAAUACGUAGGUGGCAGGCGUUGUCCGGAUUUACUGGGUGUAAAGGUCGUGUAGCCGGGCUGAUAAGGCAGAUGUGAAAUUCCGGGGCUCAACCCCGGACCUGCAUUUGAAACUGGUGGUCUUGAGUAUCGGAGAGGAAGGCGGAAUUCCUAGUGUAGCGGUGAAAUGCGUAGAUAUUAGGAGGAACACCAGUGGCGAAGGCGGCCUGCUGGA
Molecule: ribosomal RNA, 380 nt
Filed under: uncultured bacterium
Lineage: Bacteria
Description: partial 16S ribosomal RNA
Rfam family: Bacterial small subunit ribosomal RNA
Source: RNAcentral